Podarcis lilfordi (Lilford's wall lizard) is the source of this 82-nucleotide non-coding RNA. Lineage: Eukaryota; Metazoa; Chordata; Lepidosauria; Squamata; Lacertidae. The record is from the annotation of a GenBank genome assembly.
GCUCAGGCUAUUGGGAUAGCUCAGUCGGUAGAGCAUGAGGCUCUUAAUCUCAGGGUCGUGGGUUUGAGCCCCACGCUGGACA